GACGAACGCUGGCGGCGUGCUUAACACAUGCAAGUCGAACGGAAAGGCCCUGCUUUUGUGGGGUGCUCGAGUGGCGAACGGGUGAGUAACACGUGAGUAACCUGCCCUUGACUUUGGGAUAACUUCAUGAAACUGGGGCUAAUACCGGAUAGGAGCUCCUGCUUCAUGGUGGGGGUUGGAAAGUUUCGGCGGUUGGGGAUGGACUCGCGGCUUAUCAGCUUGUUGGUGGGGUAGUGGCUUACCAAGGCUUUGACGGGUAGCCGGCCUGAGAGGGUGACCGGCCACAUUGGGACUGAGAGACGGCCCAGACUCCUACGGGAGGCAGCAGUGGGGAAUAUUGCAAAAUGGGCGGAAGACUGAUGAAGCAACGCCGCGUGAGGGAUGACGGCCUUAGGGUUGUAAACCGCUUUCGCCUGUGAAGAAGAGUGAGUGACGGUAAUGGGUAAAGAAGCACCGGCUAACUACGUG
This 468-nucleotide ribosomal RNA is filed under the name uncultured bacterium. Its description in RNAcentral is "partial 16S ribosomal RNA". It matches the Rfam family "Bacterial small subunit ribosomal RNA", at positions 28 to 507 of the family's 1533-position model. The record is from RNAcentral.